CCUACGGGGGGCAGCAGGCGCAGGAAGCCGCAGCGGAAGCCGAAGCCGAGCGCCGUGGAGACUUCGGGCUCGUAGUUCAGCGCGGAAUCGUUCAGCUUCAGCUUCUGCAGCGCGUCGCGGAAGGCUUCGUAGUCGUCGCUGCUCACCGGAAACAGGCCGGCGAACACCCGCGGCUUGAUCGUCUUGAAGCCCGGCAGCGGCUCGCUGCACGGACGAUUGUCGAGAGUGAUGGUGUCGCCGACGGGUGCGCCGUCGAUUUCCUUGAUACCCGCGAUGACGAAGCCGACCUCGCCCGUGUAGAGCGCAUCGGCCACCAGCGACUUCGGCGUGAACCGGCCGAGCUUGUGCGCCUGGUGCGCCCCAUAGG
This 367-nucleotide ribosomal RNA is filed under the name uncultured archaeon. Its description in RNAcentral is "partial 16S ribosomal RNA". The record is from RNAcentral.